RNAcentral lists this ribosomal RNA (460 nucleotides) under uncultured bacterium. RNAcentral's name for it is "partial 16S ribosomal RNA". It matches the Rfam family "Bacterial small subunit ribosomal RNA", at positions 338 to 795 of the family's 1533-position model. The record is from RNAcentral.
CCUACGGGAGGCAGCAGUGAGGAAUAUUGGUCAAUGGCCGGAAGGCUGAACCAGCCAUGCCGCGUGAAGGUCAGUGCCCUAUGGGCGUUAAACUUCUUUUGUGCGGGAGCAAUAAUGGUCACGUGUGGCCAGACGAGAGUACCGUACGAAUAAGCAUCGGCUAACUCCGUGCCAGCAGCCGCGGUAAUACGGGGGAUGCAAGCGUUAUCCGGAUUUAUUGGGUUUAAAGGGUGCGUAGGCUGUGAGGUAAGUCAGCGGGGAAAUGCCCCCGCUCAACGGGGUGAAGUGCCAUUGAUACUGCCUUGCUGGAAUGCGGAUGCCGUGGGAGGAAUGUGUGGUGUAGCGGUGAAAUGCAUAGAUAUCACACAGAACACCGAUUGCGAAGGCAUCUCACGAAUCCGCGGUUGACGCUGGUGCACGAAAGCGUGGGUAUCAAACAGGAUUAGAUACCCGAGUAGUC